Molecule: ribosomal RNA, 1527 nt
Filed under: Escherichia coli 1-110-08_S4_C1
Lineage: Bacteria; Pseudomonadati; Pseudomonadota; Gammaproteobacteria; Enterobacterales; Enterobacteriaceae
Description: bacterial SSU rRNA
Rfam family: Bacterial small subunit ribosomal RNA
Source: RNAcentral
GUUUGAUCAUGGCUCAGAUUGAACGCUGGCGGCAGGCCUAACACAUGCAAGUCGAACGGUAACAGGAAGCAGCUUGCUGCUUUGCUGACGAGUGGCGGACGGGGGAGUAAUGUCUGGGAAACUGCCUGAUGGAGGGGGAUAACUACUGGAAACGGUAGCUAAUACCGCAUAACGUCGCAAGACCAAAGAGGGGGACCUUCGGGCCUCUUGCCAUCGGAUGUGCCCAGAUGGGAUUAGCUAGUAGGUGGGGUAACGGCUCACCUAGGCGACGAUCCCUAGCUGGUCUGAGAGGAUGACCAGCCACACUGGAACUGAGACACGGUCCAGACUCCUACGGGAGGCAGCAGUGGGGAAUAUUGCACAAUGGGCGCAAGCCUGAUGCAGCCAUGCCGCGUGUAUGAAGAAGGCCUUCGGGUUGUAAAGUACUUUCAGCGGGGAGGAAGGGAGUAAAGUUAAUACCUUUGCUCAUUGACGUUACCCGCAGAAGAAGCACCGGCUAACUCCGUGCCAGCAGCCGCGGUAAUACGGAGGGUGCAAGCGUUAAUCGGAAUUACUGGGCGUAAAGCGCACGCAGGCGGUUUGUUAAGUCAGAUGUGAAAUCCCCGGGCUCAACCUGGGAACUGCAUCUGAUACUGGCAAGCUUGAGUCUCGUAGAGGGGGGUAGAAUUCCAGGUGUAGCGGUGAAAUGCGUAGAGAUCUGGAGGAAUACCGGUGGCGAAGGCGGCCCCCUGGACGAAGACUGACGCUCAGGUGCGAAAGCGUGGGGAGCAAACAGGAUUAGAUACCCUGGUAGUCCACGCCGUAAACGAUGUCGACUUGGAGGUUGUGCCCUUGAGGCGUGGCUUCCGGAGCUAACGCGUUAAGUCGACCGCCUGGGGAGUACGGCCGCAAGGUUAAAACUCAAAUGAAUUGACGGGGGCCCGCACAAGCGGUGGAGCAUGUGGUUUAAUUCGAUGCAACGCGAAGAACCUUACCUGGUCUUGACAUCCACAGAACUUUCCAGAGAUGGAUUGGUGCCUUCGGGAACUGUGAGACAGGUGCUGCAUGGCUGUCGUCAGCUCGUGUUGUGAAAUGUUGGGUUAAGUCCCGCAACGAGCGCAACCCUUAUCCUUUGUUGCCAGCGGUCCGGCCGGGAACUCAAAGGAGACUGCCAGUGAUAAACUGGAGGAAGGUGGGGAUGACGUCAAGUCAUCAUGGCCCUUACGACCAGGGCUACACACGUGCUACAAUGGCGCAUACAAAGAGAAGCGACCUCGCGAGAGCAAGCGGACCUCAUAAAGUGCGUCGUAGUCCGGAUUGGAGUCUGCAACUCGACUCCAUGAAGUCGGAAUCGCUAGUAAUCGUGGAUCAGAAUGCCACGGUGAAUACGUUCCCGGGCCUUGUACACACCGCCCGUCACACCAUGGGAGUGGGUUGCAAAAGAAGUAGGUAGCUUAACCUUCGGGAGGGCGCUUACCACUUUGUGAUUCAUGACUGGGGUGAAGUCGUAACAAGGUAACCGUAGGGGAACCUGCGGUUGGAUCACCU